This 321-nucleotide ribosomal RNA is filed under the name Vibrio parahaemolyticus. Its description in RNAcentral is "bacterial SSU rRNA". It matches the Rfam family "Bacterial small subunit ribosomal RNA", at positions 107 to 431 of the family's 1533-position model. The record is from RNAcentral. Lineage: Bacteria; Pseudomonadati; Pseudomonadota; Gammaproteobacteria; Vibrionales; Vibrionaceae.
UGAGUAAUGCCUAGGAAAUUGCCCUGAUGUGGGGGAUAACCAUUGGAAACGAUGGCUAAUACCGCAUGAUGCCUACGGGCCAAAGAGGGGGACCUUCGGGCCUCUCGCGUCAGGAUAUGCCUAGGUGGGAUUAGCUAGUUGGUGAGGUAAGGGCUCACCAAGGCGACGAUCCCUAGCUGGUCUGAGAGGAUGAUCAGCCACACUGGAACUGAGACACGGUCCAGACUCCUACGGGAGGCAGCAGUGGGGAAUAUUGCACAAUGGGCGCAAGCCUGAUGCAGCCAUGCCGCGUGUGUGAAGAAGGCCUUCGGGUUGUAAAGC